Molecule: ribosomal RNA, 79 nt
Filed under: Amblystegium serpens
Lineage: Eukaryota; Viridiplantae; Streptophyta; Bryopsida; Hypnales; Amblystegiaceae
Description: partial 5.8S ribosomal RNA
Rfam family: 5.8S ribosomal RNA
About the family: 5.8S ribosomal RNA (5.8S rRNA) is a component of the large subunit of the eukaryotic ribosome. It is transcribed by RNA polymerase I as part of the 45S precursor that also contains 18S and 28S rRNA.
Source: RNAcentral
AGAUUCCGCGAAUCAUCGAGUCUUUGAACGCAAGUUGCGCCCGAGGCUUGUCCGAGGGCAUUUCCGCUAGAGCGUCACC